CGGGCAUUAGCGCAGUCUGGUAGCGCAUCGUCAUGGGGUGGCGAGGGUCAGAGGUUCAAAUCCUCUAUGCCCGACCA
This 77-nucleotide transfer RNA is filed under the name Gynuella sunshinyii YC6258. Its description in RNAcentral is "tRNA-Pro (GGG) (tRNA-Pro-GGG-1-1)". It matches the Rfam family "tRNA". Rfam says of the family: Transfer RNA (tRNA) molecules are approximately 80 nucleotides in length. Their secondary structure includes four short double-helical elements and three loops (D, anti-codon, and T loops). Further hydrogen bonds mediate the characteristic L-shaped molecular structure. tRNAs have two regions of fundamental functional importance: the anti-codon, which is responsible for specific mRNA codon recognition, and the 3' end, to which the tRNAs corresponding amino acid is attached (by aminoacyl-tRNA synthetases). tRNAs cope with the degeneracy of the genetic code in two manners: having more than one tRNA (with a specific anti-codon) for a particular amino acid; and 'wobble' base-pairing, i.e. permitting non-standard base-pairing at the 3rd anti-codon position. The record is from RNAcentral. RNAcentral also lists the same sequence under 6 other names. Lineage: Bacteria; Pseudomonadati; Pseudomonadota; Gammaproteobacteria; Oceanospirillales; Saccharospirillaceae.